This 446-nucleotide ribosomal RNA is filed under the name uncultured bacterium. RNAcentral's name for it is "bacterial SSU rRNA". It matches the Rfam family "Bacterial small subunit ribosomal RNA", at positions 355 to 825 of the family's 1533-position model. The record is from RNAcentral.
UGGGGAAUAUUGGACAAUGGGCGCAAGCCUGAUCCAGCCAUGCCGCGUGAGUGACGAAGGUCUUCGGAUUGUAAAGCUCUUUUGGCGGGGACGAUAAUGACGGUACCCGCAGAAUAAGCCCCGGCUAACUUCGUGCCAGCAGCCGCGGUAAUACGAAGGGGGCUAGCGUUGUUCGGAAUCACUGGGCGUAAAGCGCACGUAGGCGGAUUUGUUAGUCAGGGGUGAAAUCCCGGGGCUCAACCUCGGAACUGCCCUUGAUACUGCAAAUCUCGAGUCCGAUAGAGGUGAGUGGAAUUCCUAGUGUAGAGGUGAAAUUCGUAGAUAUUAGGAAGAACACCAGUGGCGAAGGCGGCUCACUGGAUCGGUACUGACGCUGAGGUGCGAAAGCGUGGGGAGCAAACAGGAUUAGAUACCCAUUAGUCCCUGAGCGGGCUGGCAAGGCGCAU